This 992-nucleotide ribosomal RNA is filed under the name uncultured Bacteroides sp. RNAcentral describes it as "bacterial SSU rRNA". It matches the Rfam family "Bacterial small subunit ribosomal RNA", at positions 137 to 1133 of the family's 1533-position model. The record is from RNAcentral. Lineage: Bacteria; Pseudomonadati; Bacteroidota; Bacteroidia; Bacteroidales; Bacteroidaceae.
UCUUGGCCAGCCUUCUGAAAGGAAGAUUAAUACAAGAUGGCAUCAUGAGUUCACAUGUUCACAUGAUUAAAGGUAUUCCGGUAGACGAUGGGGAUGCGUUCCAUUAGAUAGUAGGCGGGGUAACGGCCCACCUAGUCUUCGAUGGAUAGGGGCUCUGAGAGGAAGGUCCCCCACAUUGGAACUGAGACACGGUCCAAACUCCUACGGGAGGCAGCAGUGAGGAAUAUUGGUCAAUGGGCGCAGGCCUGAACCAGCCAAGUAGCGUGAAGGAUGACUGCCCUAUGGGUUGUAAACUUCUUUUAUAAAGGAAUAAAGUCGGGUAUGUAUACCCGUUUGCAUGUACUUUAUGAAUAAGGAUCGGCUAACUCCGUGCCAGCAGCCGCGGUAAUACGGAGGAUCCGAGCGUUAUCCGGAUUUAUUGGGUUUAAAGGGAGCGUAGAUGGAUGUUUAAGUCAGUUGUGAAAGUUUGCGGCUCAACCGUAAAAUUGCAGUUGAUACUGGAUAUCUUGAGUGCAGUUGAGGCAGGCGGAAUUCGUGGUGUAGCGGUGAAAUGCUUAGAUAUCACGAAGAACUCCGAUUGCGAAGGCAGCCUGCUAAGCUGCAACUGACAUUGAGGCUCGAAAGUGUGGGUAUCAAACAGGAUUAGAUACCCUGGUAGUCCACACGGUAAACGAUGAAUACUCGCUGUUUGCGAUAUACAGCAAGCGGCCAAGCGAAAGCGUUAAGUAUUCCACCUGGGGAGUACGCCGGCAACGGUGAAACUCAAAGGAAUUGACGGGGGCCCGCACAAGCGGAGGAACAUGUGGUUUAAUUCGAUGAUACGCGAGGAACCUUACCCGGGCUUAAAUUGCAGAUGAAUUACGGUGAAAGCCGUAAGCCGCAAGGCAUCUGUGAAGGUGCUGCAUGGUUGUCGUCAGCUCGUGCCGUGAGGUGUCGGCUUAAGUGCCAUAACGAGCGCAACCCUUGUUGUCAGUUACUAACAGGUUCCGCUG